Molecule: ribosomal RNA, 468 nt
Filed under: uncultured bacterium
Lineage: Bacteria
Description: partial 16S ribosomal RNA
Rfam family: Bacterial small subunit ribosomal RNA
Source: RNAcentral
GACGAACGCUGGCGGCGUGCUUAACACAUGCAAGUCGAACGGAAAGGCCCUGCUUUUGUGGGGUGCUCGAGUGGCGAACGGGUGAGUAACACGUGAGUAACCUGCCCUUGACUUUGGGAUAACUUCAGGAAACUGGGGCUAAUACCGGAUAGGAGCUCCUGCUGCAUGGUGGGGGUUGGAAAGUUUCGGCGGUUGGGGAUGGACUCGCGGCUUAUCAGCUUGUUGGUGGGGUAGUGGCUUACCAAGGCAUUGACGGGUAGCCGGCCUGAGAGGGUGACCGGCCACAUUGGGACUGAGAUACGGCCCAGACUCCUACGGGAGGCAGCAGUGGGGAAUAUUGCACAAUGGGCGGAAGCCUGAUGCAGCAACGCCGCGUGCGGGAAGACGGCCUUCGGGUUGUAAACCGCUUUCGCCUGUGACGAAGCGUGAGUGACGGUAAUGGGUAAAGAAGCACCGGCUAACUACGUG